Molecule: ribosomal RNA, 254 nt
Filed under: uncultured bacterium
Lineage: Bacteria
Description: partial 16S ribosomal RNA
Rfam family: Bacterial small subunit ribosomal RNA
Source: RNAcentral
GACGUAGGGCGCGAGCGUUGUCCGGAUUUAUUGGGCGUAAAGAGCUCGUAGGCGGCUUGUCGCGUCGACUGUGAAAACCCGUGGCUCAACCAUGUGGUCUGCAGUCGAUACGGGCAGGCUAGAAUUCGGUAGGGGAGACUGGAAUUCCUGGUGUAGCGGUGAAAUGCGCAGAUAUCAGGAGGAACACCGGUGGCGAAGGCGGGUCUCUGGGCCGUAACUGACGCUGAGGAGCGAAAGCGUGGGGAGCGAACAGG